This 1851-nucleotide long non-coding RNA is filed under the name Ficedula albicollis (Collared flycatcher). RNAcentral's name for it is "lncRNA (ENSFALG00000028477.1)". Lineage: Eukaryota; Metazoa; Chordata; Aves; Passeriformes; Muscicapidae. The record is from RNAcentral.
GUUGAUUUUUCAAGACCUUCACCUCUUCUGAAAGAGCUGUCUCAUUUCGUGACACCUCUCUGAAGGACAUUCUGCUGCUUGUGUGCUCUUUUGAGCCAGGAGUUUUCCAGAAGAUGCCUUUGAUGGAUGCUUUGAUGGAUGGCAAUUCUGUGGUUCUUGGAUCAGAGAGUGAGAGCCCAGCUUCAGCACAGCUCAAAGCAGCCAGGCCCUGCACUGAGCUGGGUGUGAAGAUCCCCCAGGAUGGAGCCGGAGAUGGAGUGGGAUGGAACUGGGGAUGGAGCCGGCGAUGGAGCCAAGGAUGGAGCCAGGAAUGGAGUCGGGAUGGAGCUGAGGAUGGAGUCGGGAUGGAGCUGGUAUGGAGCUGGGGAUGGAGCUGGAGAUGGAGCUGGGGAUGGAGCUGAUAUGGAGCCGGGGAUGGAGCAGGGAUGGAGCUGGAGCUGGAGCUGAUACGGAGCCGGGGAUGGAGCCAGGAAUGGAGUCGGGAUGGAGCUGAGGAUGGAGUCGGGAUGGAGCUGAUAUGGAGCCGGGGAUGGAGCAGGGAUGGAGUCGGGGUGGAGCUGGGGAUGGAGCCGGCGAUGGAGCUGGGAAUGGAGUCGGGAUGGAGCUGGGGAUGGAGCCGGGGAUAGAGCAGAGAUGGAGCUAUGUGUGAUGCAUGUAAGAAGGUCUUACUUUUGCUGAUCUUUGGGAUUAAAUCAUUGAAUUUCUCAUUUAUGAUGUAAUGUUUGUUUUAUCUUCCGUUGCCUUGUAAGUGAUUUUUGCAGUAGUUUUCUGAUGUCUUUAAAAAUUCCCAACUCGAGCCUCCUUUGCUGCAUGUUUCAAUUCAGUGUUGCAGGACAGUGGACUGAAAAUGGAACCGUUGAUCCUUCCUCAAUGGUAAUUUUGUUGGAUAUUAAUCAGUAACUUGUUUUGGAUUGACAAACAAUUAUUGAUCCCUGGAUUUAAUAGAAUAGAAAAUGUGAAGCAAAUGCAGCAGAAAGAACACAGAGAGCAAUCUGUUCUCUGAGCAAGCAGGGCCAUAGCUCUGAUACUGCCACCCAGAGUGACAGGGUGGGGGUCAGUGCCACCCACAAUGACAGGGAUGGUGUCAGUGCCGCCCGCAGUGACAGGGGUGCUGUCAGUGCCACCCAGAGUGACAGGGGUGGUAUCAGUGCUGCCCACAAUGACAGGGGUGGUGUCAGUGCCGCCCGCAGUGACAGGGGUGUUUUGCUGAUCUUUGGGAUUAAAUCAUUGAAUUUCUCAUUUAUGAUGUAAUGUUUGUUUUAUCUUCCGUUGCCUUGUAAGUGAUUUUUGCAGUAGUUUUCUGAUGUCUUUAAAAAUUCCCAACUCGAGCCUCCUUUGCUGCAUGUUUCAAUUCAGUGUUGCAGGACAGUGGACUGAAAAUGGAACCGUUGAUCCUUCCUCAAUGGUAAUUUUGUUGGAUAUUAAUCAGUAACUUGUUUUGGAUUGACAAACAAUUAUUGAUCCCUGGAUUUAAUAGAAUAGAAAAUGUGAAGCAAAUGCAGCAGAAAGAACACAGAGAGCAAUCUGUUCUCUGAGCAAGCAGGGCCAUAGCUCUGAUACUGCCACCCAGAGUGACAGGGUGGGGAUCAGUGCCACCCACAAUGACAGGGGUGGUGUCAGUGCCGCCCGCAGUGACAGGGGUGCUGUCAGUGCCACCCAGAGUGACAGGGGUGGUAUCAGUGCUGCCCACAAUGACAGGGGUGGUGUCAGUGCCGCCCGCAGUGACAGGGGUGGUGUCAGUGCCCCCCAGAGUGACAGGGUGGUGUCAGUGCCACCCAGGGGGGGGGGGGGGGGGGGGGGGGGGGGGGGGGGGGGGGGGGGGGGGGGGGGGGGGGGGGGGGGGGGGGGGGG